GGUGAACGCUGGCGGCGUGCCUAACACAUGCAAGUCGAGCGGACAGACGAUGAGCUUGCGCCUCUAACGUUAGCGGCGGGCGGGUGGGUGACACGUGGAUCACCUACCUCUAUUUCGGGGAUGACUUCGUAAAGACGGAGAUGAUACCAGAUAAUAUAUUGAACCGCUGAGUUCAGUGGUUAAUGACGGCUUUGGUGUCUGUAUUAGAUGAUUCCGGGCUGCAUUAGCGAGUUGGUAAGGUAACGGCUUACCAAGGAAACGUUGCGUGGCCGACCGGAGAGAGUGUUCGCCCACACUGGACCUGAGAAACGGCCCAACCCCUGACGGGAGGCAGAAGUAGGGAAUCUUCCGAAAUGGGCGAAAGCCUGACGGAGCAACGCAGGGUGAGUGAUGAAGGUCUCCGGAUCGUAAAACUCUGUUAUGAGGGAAGAACAAAUGUGUAAGUAACUAUGCACGUCUGGCGGUUACCAAAGCAGAAGGCCCCGGCUAAUUCCUU
This 496-nucleotide ribosomal RNA is filed under the name uncultured bacterium. RNAcentral's name for it is "partial 16S ribosomal RNA". It matches the Rfam family "Bacterial small subunit ribosomal RNA", at positions 28 to 506 of the family's 1533-position model. The record is from RNAcentral.